AGAGUUUGAUCAUGGCUCAGGGUGAACGCUAGAAAUGUGGAUACCGGCAUGCAAGUCGAGGGCCCCGCAAGGGGACCGGCGAACGGCUUAGUAACACGUAGAUACAUACCGUAAAGAUGGGGACAGCUCGUCGAAAGACGGGGUAAUACCCAAUGGUCUCGCAAGAGUAAAGGCGCAAGCCGCUUUAUGAAUGGUCUGCGGUCUAUCAGCUAGUUGGCGGGGUAAAGGCCCACCAAGGCUAUGACGGAUAGGGGGUGUGAGAGCACGGCCCCCAAGAGUUGGACUGCGACACGGCCAACACUCCUACGGGAGGCUGCAGUCGAGAAUCUUCCGCAAUGGACGAAAGUCUGACGGAGCGACAUUUCGUGAAGGAUGAAGCCUUCGGGGUGUAAACUUCUUUUGUAUGGGAAAAAGUUAUUGAUUGUACCAUAAGAAUAAGGGGUUCCUAACUCUGUGCCAGCAGGAGCGGUAAUACAGAGACCCCAAGCGUUACCCGGAUUUAUUGGGCGUAAAGGGUGUGUAGGUGGUGUGGUAAGUUCAAAUUUAAAGCUCAUCGGCUUAACCUUUGAGAUGAUUUGAAUACUGCCACGCUCAGAGGGCGUUAGAGGCAGACGGAACCGACCAAGUAGGGGUGAAAUCCGUUGAUAUGGUCGGGAACACCAAAAGCGAAGGCAGUCUGCUGGGGCGACCCUGACACUGAAACACGAAAGCGUGGGGAGCAAAAAGGAUUAGAUACCCUAGUAGUCC
Molecule: ribosomal RNA, 747 nt
Filed under: uncultured bacterium
Lineage: Bacteria
Description: bacterial SSU rRNA
Rfam family: Bacterial small subunit ribosomal RNA
Source: RNAcentral